This 466-nucleotide ribosomal RNA is filed under the name uncultured bacterium. Its description in RNAcentral is "partial 16S ribosomal RNA". It matches the Rfam family "Bacterial small subunit ribosomal RNA", at positions 28 to 497 of the family's 1533-position model. The record is from RNAcentral.
GAUGAAUGCUGGCGGCGUGCCUAACACAUGCAAGUCGAGCGGUAACAGGAGUAGUUUACUACUUGCUGACGAGCGGCGGACGGCUGAGUAACGCGUGGGAACGUGCCCCAAAGUGAGGGAUAAGCUCCAGAAAUGGAGUCUAAUACCGCAUAUGACUUUCGGAUUAAAGGAUUUAUCCGCUUUGGGAGCGGCCCGCGUUAGAUUAGGUAGUUGGUAGGGUAAUGGCCUACCAAGCCGACGAUCUAUAGCUGGUCUGAGAGGAUGAUCAGCCAGACUGGGACUGAGACACGGCCCAGACUCCUACGGGAGGCAGCAGUAGGGAAUCUUCGGCAAUGGACGAAAGUCUGACCGAGCAACGCCGCGUGAGCGAUGAAGGCCUUCGGGUCGUAAAGCUCUGUUGUCAGAGAAGAACAAGUACCGGAGUAACUGCCGGUACCUUGACGGUACCUGACCAGAAAGCCACGGC